GGCUGAGCCCAGGCAGGGAGGCAGGAGUUGUCCCUGGUGGGACAGGUGGUGGCUGUUCCUUCUUCAUCUUCUAGAGCUGGAGGCUCACACAGGCACAUGACCAGACCAUGUCAUUGUGGGUGUGUGACAUGGCCACCCCAGGGAGACGUGGGACUGACAGCCCUGGCUUGAGGUGAGGAGAGCUCCAGACAGGGGCAGGGGCUGCCCGUGGUGACUGAGGGUCGCUGCUCCCUGUGCUUGUUGGCCACAGGCAGUGCAUUGGCCCAUUCAUUAUUCAAAGUUCUGUGUUGAAUCACACCUGGCAGUCCAUUCUGAAGAGCAAAUUAAGAGUAUUCAAGAGAGGAGCAGUUUUGACCAGAUGUUUACAAAGGUGCCCUCCAAUGAUUCUAUUAUUUGCAUCCUGCUACGGUAGUGGCCAGGACUGGCAGUUAAGUCUCAUUUCUGCCAAUCCGGGUUGCCCUGCAUCCAGACUUGGAGCCUGUCGACUUCAGAGAGGUGAUACCUCAGGUAUGUAGGGCUUGCAGUAAAUCUGUGUGUUAUUUGCCUUUUCCAAUGACUUCUGCAUUAAAAGUGGUGCUCUGUCAGUGUUUUAAUGGUUCUUUCUUCCAAUAUGUGACGUUCAUUAUGUUAAGCUGCCAGGCUUAGAUGUCAAUGAGAUUUUCUCAG
RNAcentral lists this long non-coding RNA (666 nucleotides) under Cairina moschata (Muscovy duck). RNAcentral's name for it is "domestica (muscovy Duck (domestic type)) lncRNA (ENSCMMG00000002223.1)". The record is from RNAcentral. Lineage: Eukaryota; Metazoa; Chordata; Aves; Anseriformes; Anatidae.